RNAcentral lists this ribosomal RNA (462 nucleotides) under uncultured bacterium. RNAcentral's name for it is "partial 16S ribosomal RNA". It matches the Rfam family "Bacterial small subunit ribosomal RNA", at positions 28 to 507 of the family's 1533-position model. The record is from RNAcentral.
GACGAACGCUGGCGGCGUGCUUAACACAUGCAAGUCGAACGGAAAGGCCCUUCGGGGUACUCGAGCGGCGAACGGGUGAGUAACACGUGAGUAACCUGCCCCAGACUUUGGGAUAACCCUCGGAAACGGGGGCUAAUACCGGAUACGACACAGCUUCGCAUGGGGUCUGUGUGGAAAGUUUUUCGGUUUGGGAUGGGCUCGCGGCCUAUCAGCUUGUUGGUGGGGUGAUGGCCUACCAAGGCGACGACGGGUAGCCGGCCUGAGAGGGCGACCGGCCACACUGGGACUGAGAAACGGCCCAGACUCCUACGGGAGGCAGCAGUGGGGAAUAUUGCACAAUGGGCGGAAGCCUGAUGCAGCGACGCCGCGUGAGGGAUGACGGCCUUCGGGUUGUAAACCUCUUUCAGCAGGGACGAAGCGUAAGUGACGGUACCUGCAGAAGAAGCGCCGGCCAACUACGUG